GAGAAGAUGGUGUUCUAGAAGGAAUCAGAGGAAGUGGAGUUAGAUGCUCUUUUGUUUUGUUUUUUUAACUUUUUUUUAACCCUCUUUAUUUCGUUUAUUGGGAUUUUGGGGAAUCUAUUGCGGAAAAUUUAGGAAUUUUAUUUGUUUUCUGUUUAUUUGAUACAUUAGUUAGGGCUGCAAUUAUGAGUCCAUUUAUAUGCACUGUUGGGUUAUAAAUUACUGACAUAUAUUUUAAGGAGAGAAUAUUCGUUCAUUUGCAUCGGUGCCUUUAUUAAGAUUCAUUUGGGGUCUAUUUAUGGAGCACCUAUGGUCAAGUUUUCAGAUCCGAUGAAAUAUGACGACUCUAAUGCAUUUAAAUGACAAAUUAGGCUUUUAUUUAAAUGAAUGGAUGAGUCAUCGUUCAUUGAUAUGCAUUUAGGCUAUAUUUGAAGAGCGUCUAGGUGGUCUCUUUAGAUACACUGGAGAUAAAACGAGCUGAAUUAGACAUACGGAAAAGGUCAAAAGGUCAGGGACAAGGUCAUGGCCCAACUUCAGACAAUGAGAAGUAAGUAAUUAUGAAAGAAGGGCGAGUAAACAGCAGGAAUUACCCAGCAAACACCAGCUCCUUAUGUCGUAGCUGUGUGUGAGCGAAAGCUUCUUUUUUUUUUGCAUAAACUUUUUUUUCUCUCUCGACCAUCGGCUGUCCUUCUACUUCCGAUCUCGCUCUGAACACUGAGGAAGUACCAGAUCUCUCCCGCCGAUUCAGAAAGUAUCGUUCAUCUCCCAACUUUCGCGCCGGCGGUAACCGUCGGACGGGCUAAGUCACUGUAAAUCUCAAGGAAAAGUUAUGUACGUAAGAGAGCGUUUAUUAAAUACCAAAGUGGCCUUAUUCACUUAACUUAAUUAAGUUGUCAGCCUCCACUAAUGGCUAUCGCGCUGAUAACAACGUCCCAGAGGAGAGGGCAUCGAGACGAAACAUUGAGCAACGCGAGGGAAAAGCGAGACGUUUGGGCUCGUGACGUCACAGGGUGUCGAUGACGUCACGAGGUGCACGAGAGGGCCAGGUCAGCCGUCAUUUGUGCAGCGAGCGUGGACGCGCGCACAUCGCCUGAUCCUGCCUAACUGCAGCUGUAAACAGAUGUGAAGGCAAACCCAGGCGGAUUGAAAACAAACAAACAAACAAAGGUGCUUGUUUUUAUUAGCAGCCGACGGAAAAGUGGCUGUUAUUGUUAACGAGUCCAAUUAGACAAUAAGAACUAGUAGUAAUUAAAAAAAAAGGGAGGAGGCUGAAAAUCAAAGAUAAAAAAUAAUCUUAAAGUGACAGAGGGAGGGAUGCGCUGCCUGGAAUAGUGCCCCGAGGCCUCAGUGCCAUUUCCAAGCGGAGUGCCAUGUCGUACCCACAUCCGCGUGCUCCGCCCAUUCCCUAAUUCGCGCCCAGUGAUUGGCUGAGAAAGAACACUUAGAGAAGAAAUAAGAAAGAAAAAAUAUAAAAAGGAUAUUUAAGAAAAGAAAUAAAAUAAAAUAAACCGAUCUUAAACACGCUCGUUGAUCUUUUGACUGUUUCCAACGCCCGGUUUAUCCCUCCCUCUCCCACCCCCCCAAAAAAAGAAAAGAAGAAAAAAAAAAAAGACUUAUCUACUGCGUCAUAUAACCCCCCACCCCCCCCAUCAGUCCUGGCACCCUGUGGGAUCCCCCUCCUCCCCCGGCAGAGUGCCAGCCAUGUCCCACCCCGGGGCACGAAACUGGCCCCACUUGGCACCAGCGCUCACGUACCGCGGAGACCCCAGCGUGAGCCAUCUCCGAUCUUCGCCUCUCAUGCAGGGUGAGUAGAUGGAAGGUAGAUGUAGGGAAAAGGUAGAUAUGUAGGGGAAAGGUAGAUUGAAGGUAAGGGAAAAGGUAGAUGUAAAGUAGGGAAGAGGUAGAUUGAAUGUAAGGGAAAGGUAGAUUGAAGGUAAGGGGAAAGGUAGAUAUGUAGGGUAAAGGUAGAUUGAAGGUAAGAGAAAGACAGAUGGAAGGUAGGGAAAAAGUAGAUGUAAAGUAGGGAAGAGGUAGAUAAGAGGUAGGGGAAAAGUAGAUGGAAGGUAAGGGAAAACGUAGAUGGAAGGUAGGAGGUGGAGGGAAGUCUCAAGGGUAGGUAUCUCAAUGCUCUUAUUUAUUUUAUGGGCCAUAUGAUGGAGGGACCGUUAUCUCGCUCUCUCUCUCUCUUUCCUUCUUUCUCUCUC
Molecule: long non-coding RNA, 2201 nt
Organism: Penaeus chinensis
Lineage: Eukaryota; Metazoa; Arthropoda; Malacostraca; Decapoda; Penaeidae
Exons: 3
Source: RefSeq, a predicted model, not a curated record